CCUACGGGAGGCAGCAGUGGGGAAUAUUGGACAAUGGGCGAAAGCCUGAUCCAGCAAUGCCGCGUGAGUGAUGAAGGCCUUAGGGUUGUAAAGCUCUUUUACCAGGGAUGAUAAUGACAGUACCUGGAGAAUAAGCUCCGGCUAACUCCGUGCCAGCAGCCGCGGUAAUACGGAGGGAGCUAGCGUUGUUCGGAAUUACUGGGCGUAAAGCGUACGUAGGCGGUUAUUCAAGUCAGAGGUGAAAGCCUGGAGCUCAACUCCAGAACUGCCUUUGAAACUAGAUAGCUAGAAUCUUGGAGAGGUGAGUGGAAUUCCGAGUGUAGAGGUGAAAUUCGUAGAUAUUCGGAAGAACACCAGUGGCGAAGGCGACUCACUGGACAAGUAUUGACGCUGAGGUACGAAAGCGUGGGGAGCAAACAGGAUUAGAUACCCUGGUAGUCCACGCCGUAAACGAUGAUAACUAGCUGUUCGGGCUCUACGAGCUUGAGUGGCGCAGCUAACGCAUUAAGUUAUCCGCCUGGGGAUACGGUCGCAAGNUUAAAACUUAAAUGAAUUGACGG
Molecule: ribosomal RNA, 560 nt
Filed under: uncultured bacterium
Lineage: Bacteria
Description: bacterial SSU rRNA
Rfam family: Bacterial small subunit ribosomal RNA
Source: RNAcentral